GUAGGUGGCAAGCGUUGUCCGGAAUUAUUGGGCGUAAAGCGCGCGCAGGCGGUUCUUUAAGUCUGAUGUGAAAGCCCACGGCUCAACCGUGGAGGGUCAUUGGAAACUGGAGAACUUGAGUACAGAAGAGGAAAGCGGAAUUCCACGUGUAGCGGUGAAAUGCGUAGAGAUGUGGAGGAACACCAGUGGCGAAGGCGGCUUUCUGGUCUGUAACUGGCGCUGAGGCGCGAAAGCGUGGGGAGCAAACAGGGAUUAGAUACCCUGGUAGUCCACGCCGUAAACGAUGAGUGCUAAGUGUUAGGGGGGUUUCCGCCCCCUUAGUGCUGCAGCUAACGCAUUAAGCACUCCGCCUGGGGAGUACGGCCGCAAGGCUG
RNAcentral lists this ribosomal RNA (374 nucleotides) under uncultured organism. RNAcentral describes it as "partial 16S ribosomal RNA". It matches the Rfam family "Bacterial small subunit ribosomal RNA", at positions 527 to 896 of the family's 1533-position model. The record is from RNAcentral.